This 221-nucleotide long non-coding RNA is filed under the name Lathyrus oleraceus (garden pea). Its description in RNAcentral is "Pisum sativum (pea) long non-coding RNA (PSAT_LNC011574)". The record is from RNAcentral. Lineage: Eukaryota; Viridiplantae; Streptophyta; Magnoliopsida; Fabales; Fabaceae.
UUGAGUUGUAAGUGUUGUGUCACUCAAAGCUUUUAAGCGUGAGUGCUGUGUAUCUUGAUUUAAGCUGUGAAGCAUAAUCAAGAGUUGUUUUUGAAGUGUGACUUCAAAGUGUCUUUAAUAUCACUGAGGUGAUUGAGGGGGAGUGAGUAGGAACUCUGAUCUUAGUGUAAGAUUGAAAUUGCAUUGGGUAGGGAUUAAGUGAUAAGUUGUAAACGGGUGAG